GUGUCAGCAGCCGCGGUAAAACGUAGGUGGCGAGCGUUAUCCGGAUUUACUGGGCGUAAAGCGUGUGCAGGCGGGGUGAUAAGUGGUGUAUGAAAUCUCUGGGCUUAACUCGGAGGGGUUAUGCCAGACUGUCACUCUAGAGUGCGAGAGAGGAACGUGGAAUUCCGGGUGUAGUGGUGAAAUGCGUAGAGAUCCGGAGGAACCCCAGAGGCGAAGGCGGCGUUCUGGCUCGCAACUGACGCUCAGACACGACAGCAUGGGGAGCGAACGGGAUUAGAAACCCCGGUAGUCC
RNAcentral lists this ribosomal RNA (292 nucleotides) under uncultured bacterium. Its description in RNAcentral is "partial 16S ribosomal RNA". It matches the Rfam family "Bacterial small subunit ribosomal RNA", at positions 505 to 796 of the family's 1533-position model. The record is from RNAcentral.